This 403-nucleotide ribosomal RNA is filed under the name uncultured bacterium. Its description in RNAcentral is "partial 16S ribosomal RNA". It matches the Rfam family "Bacterial small subunit ribosomal RNA", at positions 28 to 526 of the family's 1533-position model. The record is from RNAcentral.
GACGAACGCUGGCGGCGUGCCUAAUACAUGCAAGUCGAACGCAGUGGGGACGGGUGAGGAACACGUGGGUAACCUCGCAUCAGAGGGGAUAACACUUGGAAACAGGUGCUAAACCGCUACUGGUGGAUGGACCAGCGGUGCAUUGGGUUGAUGGUGAGGUAACGGCUCACCAAGGCCACGAUGAAUAGCCGGCCUGAGAGGGUGACCGGACAACCGGGAACUGAGACACGGCCCAGACUCCUACGGGAGGCAGCAGUGGGGAAUCUUCGGCAAUGGACGAAAGUCUGACCGAGCAACGCCGCGUGAGUGAAGAAGUGUUUCGGAUCGUAAAGCUCUGUUGUUAGGGAAGCGGUAUCUAACCAGAAAGCCACGGCUAACUACGUGCCAGCAGCCGCGGUAAUAC